UACGUAGGAGGCAAGCGUUGUCCGGAUUUACUGGGCGUAAAGGGAGCGCAGGUGGCUGCGCAAGUCGAUGGUGCAAGCUCCAGGCUCAACCUGGAGAGGUCUGUCGAUACUGCGUGGCUUGAGGGCGGUAGAGGAGCACGGAAUUCCUGGUGUAGUGGUGAAAUGCGUAGAUAUCAGGAGGAACACCGGUGGCGAAAGCGGUGCUCUGGGCCGUUCCUGACACUCAUGCUCGAAAGCGUGGGGAGCGAACCGG
Molecule: unclassified non-coding RNA, 253 nt
Filed under: uncultured Dehalococcoidia bacterium
Lineage: Bacteria; Bacillati; Chloroflexota; Dehalococcoidia
Description: contains 16S-23S intergenic spacer region
Rfam family: Bacterial small subunit ribosomal RNA
Source: RNAcentral